RNAcentral lists this ribosomal RNA (253 nucleotides) under uncultured bacterium. RNAcentral's name for it is "partial 16S ribosomal RNA". It matches the Rfam family "Bacterial small subunit ribosomal RNA", at positions 524 to 776 of the family's 1533-position model. The record is from RNAcentral.
UACGAAGGGGGCUAGCGUUGCUCGGAAUUACUGGGCGUAAAGGGCGCGUAGGCGGCUUCGAUAGUCGGAUGUGAAAGCCCUGGGCUCAACCCAGGAAGUGCAUUCGAAACUGCAGAGCUGGAGUCCUGGAGAGGAAGGCGGAAUUCUCGGUGUAGAGGUGAAAUUCGUAGAUAUCGAGAGGAACACCGGUGGCGAAGGCGGCCUUCUGGACAGUGACUGACGCUGAGACGCGAAAGCGUGGGGAGCAAACAGG